Molecule: ribosomal RNA, 485 nt
Filed under: uncultured bacterium
Lineage: Bacteria
Description: partial 16S ribosomal RNA
Rfam family: Bacterial small subunit ribosomal RNA
Source: RNAcentral
GAUUGAACGCUGGCGGAAUGCUUUCCACAUGCAAGUCGAACGGCAGCCCGGGGGCAACCCUGGUGGCGAGUGGCGAACGGGUGAGUAAUACAUCGGAACGUGCCCGGUCGUGGGGGAUAACGUAGCGAAAGUUACGCUAAUACCGCAUACGAUCUGAGGAUGAAAGCGGGGGACCUUCGGGCCUCGCGCGAUCGGAGCGGCCGAUGUCAGAUUAGGUAGUUGGUGGGGUAAAGGCCUACCAAGCCGACGAUCUGUAGCUGGUCUGAGAGGUCGACCAGCCACACUGGGACUGAGACACGGCCCAGACUCCUACGGGAGGCAGCAGUGGGGAAUUUUGGACAAUGGGCGCAAGCCUGAUCCAGCCAUUCCGCGUGCAGGACGAAGGCCUUCGGGUUGUAAACUGCUUUUGUAUGGAACGAAAAGGCUCUGGCUAAUACCUGGGGCUCAUGACGGUACCGUAAGAAUAAGCACCGGCUAACUACGUG